Molecule: ribosomal RNA, 905 nt
Filed under: uncultured soil bacterium
Lineage: Bacteria
Description: bacterial SSU rRNA
Rfam family: Bacterial small subunit ribosomal RNA
Source: RNAcentral
AGAGUUUGAUCCUGGCUCAGGAUGAACGCUAGCGGCAGGCCUAAUACAUGCAAGUCGAACGGGGUGAUUCAGCAAUGGAUCAUUCAGUGGCGCACGGGUGCGUAACGCGUAUGCAACCUACCUUAAACUGGGGGAUAGCCUUCCGAAAGGGAGAUUAAUACCGCAUAAGAUCACACGAGGGCAUCUGAGAGUGAUUAAAGAUUUAUUGGUUUAAGAUGGGCAUGCGUGCCAUUAGCUAGUUGGUAGGGUAACGGCCUACCAAGGCUACGAUGGCUAGGGGUUCUGAGAGGAUGAUCCCCCACACUGGUACUGAGAUACGGACCAGACUCCUACGGGAGGCAGCAGUAGGGAAUAUUGGGCAAUGGACGCAAGUCUGACCCAGCCAUGCCGCGUGCAGGAUGAAGGCCUUCUGGGUUGUAAACUGCUUUUAUCUAGGAAGAAAACGCCCAUGCGUGGGAAACUGACGGUACUAGAUGAAUAAGCACCGGCUAACUCCGUGCCAGCAGCCGCGGUAAUACGGAGGGUGCAAGCGUUGUCCGGAUUUAUUGGGUUUAAAGGGUGCGUAGGCGGCCCGUUAAGUCAGUGGUGAAAGCCUCCAGCUCAACUGGAGAACUGCCAUUGAUACUGACGGGCUUGAGUACAGACGAGGUUGGCGGAAUUGAUUGUGUAGCGGUGAAAUGCAUAGAUACAAUCAAGAACUCCGAUUGCGUAGGCAGCUAACUAGGCUGUAACUGACGCUGAGGCACGAAAGCGUGGGGAGCGAACAGGAUUAGAUACCCUGGUAGUCCACGCCGUAAACGAUGAUUACUCGAUGUUGGCGAUAAACUGUCAGCGUCUUAGCGAAAGCGUUAAGUAAUCCACCUGGGGAGUACGCCCGCAAGGGUGAAACUCAAAGGAAUUGACGG